This 253-nucleotide ribosomal RNA is filed under the name uncultured bacterium. Its description in RNAcentral is "partial 16S ribosomal RNA". It matches the Rfam family "Bacterial small subunit ribosomal RNA", at positions 524 to 776 of the family's 1533-position model. The record is from RNAcentral.
UACGUAGGGUGCAAGCGUUGUCCGGAAUUAUUGGGCGUAAAGAGCUCGUAGGCGGUCUGUCGCGUCUGCUGUGAAAACCUGGGGCUUAACCCCGGGCCUGCAGUGGGUACGGGCAGACUAGAGUUCGGUAGGGGAGUCUGGAAUUCCUGGUGUAGCGGUGAAAUGCGCAGAUAUCAGGAGGAACACCGGUGGCGAAGGCGGGACUCUGGGCCGAUACUGACGCUGAGGAGCGAAAGCGUGGGGAGCAAACAGG